GACGAACGCUGGCGGCGUGCUUAACACAUGCAAGUCGAACGGAAAGACCCUGCUUUUGUGGGGUGCUCGAGUGGCGAACGGGUGAGUAACACGUGAGUAACCUGCCCUUGACUUUGGGAUAACUUCAGGAAACUGGGGCUAAUACCGGAUAGGAGCUCCUGCUGCAUGGUGGGGGUUGGAAAGUUUCGGCGGUUGGGGAUGGACUCGCGGCUUAUCAGCUUGUUGGUGGGGUAGUGGCUUACCAAGGCUUUGACGGGUAGCCGGCCUGAGAGGGUGACCGGCCACAAUGGGACUGAGAUACGGCCCAGACUCCUACGGGAGGCAGCAGUGGGGAAUAUUGCACAAUGGGCGGAAGCCUGAUGCAGCAACGCCGCGUGCGGGAUGACGGCCUUCGGGUUGUAAACCGCUUUCGCCUGUGACGAAGCGUGAGUGACGGUAAUGGGUAAAGAAGCACCGGCUAACUACGUG
Molecule: ribosomal RNA, 468 nt
Filed under: uncultured bacterium
Lineage: Bacteria
Description: partial 16S ribosomal RNA
Rfam family: Bacterial small subunit ribosomal RNA
Source: RNAcentral